CCCUUAGACGUUCUGGGCCGCACGCGCGCUACACUGACCAGUGCAACAAGCAUCCGUCCUUGGCCGACAGGCCCGGGCAAUCUUUGAACGCUGAUCGUGAUGGGGAUAGACUUUUGCAAUUUUUGGUCUUCAACGAGGAAUUCCUAGUAAACGCAAGUCAUCAACUUGCAUUGAUUACGUCCCUGCCCUUUGUACACACCGCCCGUCGCACCUACCGAUUGAAUGGUCCGGUGAAGCCUCCGGAUUGGCGUGCACCCUCGGGUGCUGCCGAGAAGUUGGCUAAACCUUACCAUUUAGAGGAAGGUGAAGUCGUAACA
This 317-nucleotide ribosomal RNA is filed under the name uncultured eukaryote. RNAcentral describes it as "partial 18S ribosomal RNA". It matches the Rfam family "Eukaryotic small subunit ribosomal RNA", at positions 1470 to 1796 of the family's 1831-position model. The record is from RNAcentral.